RNAcentral lists this ribosomal RNA (505 nucleotides) under uncultured bacterium. RNAcentral's name for it is "bacterial SSU rRNA". It matches the Rfam family "Bacterial small subunit ribosomal RNA", at positions 26 to 518 of the family's 1533-position model. The record is from RNAcentral.
CGAGGACGAACGCUGGCGGCGUGCCUAACACAUGCAAGUCGAGCGGGGACAUGCGACGGAUAGGAAGUUUCGGAUGGACUUGAAGAUGCAUGUUCUAGCGGCGGACGGGUGAGUAACGCGUGAGCAACCUGUCCCUUACAGGGGGAUAACACAGCGAAAGUUGUACUAAUACCGCAUAAGACCACGGGAGGACAUCCUUCAGGGGUCAAAGGAGGAAUCCGGUAAGGGUGGGCUCGCGUCCGAUUAGAUAGUUGGUGAGGUAACGGCCCACCAAGUCGACGAUCGGUAGCCGACCUGAGAGGGUGAUCGGCCACAUUGGGACUGAGACACGGCCCAAACUCCUACGGGAGGCAGCAGUGGGGAAUAUUGGGCAAUGGGGGAAACCCUGACCCAGCAACGCCGCGUGAGGGAAGAAGGUUUUCGGAUCGUAAACCUCUGUCCUUGGUGAAGAGGAAGAGACGGUAGCCAAGGAGGAAGCCCCGGCUAACUACGUGCCAGCCGCCGC